GGAUUACUCCCUCCGUCCCAUAAUUCUUGUCGAAAUAUUACAUGUAUUUAGACACUUUGGAAUAGAUACAUCCAUUUUUGUGCAAAUUUGAGACAAAAAUUAUGGGAUGGAGGGAGUAGUAU
This is a non-coding RNA of Brachypodium distachyon (stiff brome), 122 nucleotides long. The record is from Rfam. NCBI's taxonomy places the organism in Eukaryota, Viridiplantae, Streptophyta, Magnoliopsida, Poales, Poaceae.